This 1904-nucleotide long non-coding RNA is filed under the name Citrus x clementina. RNAcentral's name for it is "Citrus clementina (C. clementina) long non-coding RNA (CCLE_LNC001512)". The record is from RNAcentral. Lineage: Eukaryota; Viridiplantae; Streptophyta; Magnoliopsida; Sapindales; Rutaceae.
UUCAUAUUAUUAGUCACGUAAAUUUUGACAAUUUUUAUAGAUAUUGUCAUAAACGAUUUGAUCAUUUAAACAUACUGUUAACAUGUAUGUUUCUAUAAUUAUGAUUUUGAUGAUAACAAACACGUUUAAAAUUGAUUAAAUUUGAAAAAAAUCUUUAAUCGGAUCAAAAUACUUAAGCCGUAUAAUAAUUGAGCAAAGAAUAAUUUUCUGGAAAUAAACGCAUUCAUGUUAACUCAGAAAACAGCUAACCGAUUACCUUGAAGUGAGAUUUCAUUAAUUAUGGAUGCAAUCGGCUAACCGUUAGUGGUAAAACGGCUAACCGACAUCGUACAGAAUUGAAGUCUAACUUUUAGAUGCUAACGGCAAAUCGUUUAUUAGAAAAUGGUAAGUUGACAACUUUUUGCAGGUCUCUGAGCACUAACAACAAUCCGACAUCAAGAAAACGAUGAUCUGACAAUUUGAAAUUAUAAGCAUAACAGUCACUUGCUCAAGUUAAAAACGGGGAUCCGACAAUGGCUAACAGUGAUUUGAUUGUGUGCAAGUCAAUAACAACUAAUUUUCAACUAAUUUUCUGGAAAUAAACGAAUUCAUGUUAACUCAGAAAACAGCUAACCGAUUACCUUGAAGUGAGAUUUCAUUAAUUAUGGAUGCAAUCGGCUAACCGUUAGUGGUAAAACAGCUAACCGACAUCAUACAGAAUUGAAGUCUAACUUCUAGAUGCUAACGGCAAAUCGUUUAUUAGAAAAUGGUAAGUUGACAAUUUUUUGUAGGUCUCUGAGCACUAACAACAAUCCGACAUCAAGAAAACGGUGAUAUGACAAUUUGAAAUUAUAAGCAUAACAGUCAUUUGCUCAAGUUAAAAACGGCGAUCCGACAAUGGCUAACAGUGAUCUGAUUGUGUGCAAGUCAAUAACAACUAAUUUUCAACUCCAACUAUAAAAAGAUUCAAUCAAAUUCUAAUUCUAAUAGGAUUCUACAAUUAUCAUUGAGCUUUUCAUUGAGUAUACAAUCUUUCUUUAGCAUUAAACUUGUGAUUGUUUCAUUAAGUCACACUUUGAACUUUCAUUUGUAAGCAUAUACAUUGUAUGAGGAAAAGCUUAUUUGUAAUCUUUAUUUUUGAUAAUUGUAAGUGUGAGAAACACUUGGGUUAAGAGAUUUGAGAUAAUCUCUUGUUAUAAAGAUUAAUUAAUACCUAUGAAGUCAAUUGUAAGAGUUCUUGAAAGUCUUGGAGGAUUGGUUAGUGGAAUCCUCAAGCCCAGCAAUCUUGGAGGCGUGGAUGUAGGCAGGGCUUGGCCGAACCAUGUAAAAAUCUCGUUCAAUUCUCUCUUUCCUUUUGUCUUUAUAUUUUGAUUGUUUUACUUAUUAUUGUUUUGAAUUGGUUUUAUAUUUGCAUUAAUUUUUAUUCAAACACUGCACAAUUUGUAGAAACCCAAUUCACCCUCCUACUUAGGUUGCAUAACUAGUAUUUCAUGUAUUGUCUAGUGUCUACACUUAUAUGUACAUAAAACCUACUAGACCCACCAAGACUUUCCUCCUCAGAUCAAUUAAUUAAAGUAUAAAUAAUAUGAAUUUCGUACAAAAAUGAAUUGAAAUGUAAACGAAAAAGGAAAUAAAUAUCACAUUUUGACGAAAAAAUUGUACAAAUUGGGCUACAGAUCAUAUUCUGUAUGUAUGUAUAGUUUGCGCAAAUCAUUUUACGUCUUUAACGACAUAGCAAAAGAAUAUAACAAGAUAAAUAAGUACAAUUUUGUAACAAGAUUGCAUGAUUGGGAGAAUACUCUUUAUUUUUAUCUUCACUUAUUUUCUACUCUUCCACUAAAAACUAGGGUAAAAUCAAGGGUAAGUACUCGAAUGCUCAUUAUAUUUUAGGUUAAAUAUUCAUUUAAUUCUUAUAUUUUAAAAAA